This 259-nucleotide ribosomal RNA is filed under the name uncultured bacterium. Its description in RNAcentral is "partial 16S ribosomal RNA". It matches the Rfam family "Bacterial small subunit ribosomal RNA", at positions 1242 to 1500 of the family's 1533-position model. The record is from RNAcentral.
ACGAGUCGCAAGACCGCGAGGUUUAGCAAAUCUCUUAAAGCCGUUCUCAGUUCGGAUUGUAGGCUGCAACUCGCCUACAUGAAGUCGGAAUCGCUAGUAAUCGCGGAUCAGCAUGCCGCGGUGAAUACGUUCCCGGGCCUUGUACACACCGCCCGUCACACCAUGAGAGUUUGUAACACCCAAAGCCGGUGGAGUAACCUUUUGGAGCCAGCCGUCUAAGGUGGGACAGAUGAUUGGGGUGAAGUCGUAACAAGGUAGC